This is a non-coding RNA of Pelodiscus sinensis (Chinese soft-shelled turtle), 1058 nucleotides long. The record is from RefSeq and is a predicted model, not a curated record. Lineage: Eukaryota; Metazoa; Chordata; Testudines; Trionychidae.
UCUCUUUUAAAACUGCUCCUGAAUUGCUUGAAAUAAAACUUGUUAAAGGUAUAUUUGAGAUACUGUGGGUCUUUGUGCUAUGACCCUAAUUAAAUGCCUAGUGUGCGUGAUCACCCAUACAACAGCACCCUCUUGCAACCCCCAUGACCCUUUUCCCUGAGCUCCCCACAUCCCCAAGACCCUGCCCUUACUCCUGAACCCCUUGCCCACUGCCCUGAGGGACCCAAGCGAUACUAGGUAAAUCUUCUAGUCAAAGACGCGUAUAGAGUGAGCCCUGAAUAUUUUGUAGAAUAGUGAUAGAGAUGCAGCCGUGUUAGCUUUGUAGUCUGUGUUGCAAUUGAAAUCUAUAUAUUUGAAAAUGUAGAAAACAGCAAGAAAGACACAGAUAAUUGGUAUGAGAUGACGGAUUAAUCGGGCAAUUAAUCACUAAUGAAUUGCCUUCAGUCACGUGAAGACGAUUGUCUUCAAUCGCAUGAUUCAUCACAUUUAAUUUUAACUACUUUACAGCCCUCCCCCACAGCAGAAAGGAAAGCAACUUGAAGGUGCUAGUUUCACCCUUGUUGAAAAUAAUUUUCAAAUCUAUUAGAAGCUGUCAAGCAAGCAAGCAAGAAAAGCAGAAGUGCUGACAGCAAUAUCCUUAGAUGUCCGGACAAGACUGGACCACAAACUUGAUAUCUGUACAAGCUGAACCCCAGCAAUCUGUCUCUGAAGGGUCUUGUGCAGCUGAGGGGUACUGUGCAGCUGAUAGGCCGGCAGAAAGGAAGUGCCUAAUAUAGCCACAUGCAGGCAUCGGAGAUAGGCAAAGAUCCCAGAUUCUAAAAGCAGAGAAACAAGCACAACAUGGAAUUGAGUCUCCUUCUACCGGUGCUGGCCGCUCUCGAGAUGUUCCCCAGCCUGGUGUCUCCUUCAGACCCUCCAUCAGCCCCCAAACUCUUUCUGCACCCCCGACACCAAGAGUUCAUCGAGGGCGACCGUCUCACCCUCCGGUGCUCAGCUCAGGGGGUCGAGGGGGUGACAAGGUACCAGUUCUUUGACGGAAGUGGGAAGCAGCUCUCCGA